Molecule: unclassified non-coding RNA, 402 nt
Filed under: uncultured fungus
Lineage: Eukaryota; Fungi
Description: partial contains small subunit ribosomal RNA, internal transcribed spacer 1, and 5.8S ribosomal RNA
Rfam family: Eukaryotic small subunit ribosomal RNA (bases 1-73)
Source: RNAcentral
ACAAACUUGGUCAUUUAGAGGAAGUAAAAGUCGUAACAAGGUCUCCGUAGGUGAACCUGCGGAGGGAUCAUUAACACGUUGCAAAACGUUAUCCUUCUUACCCACACCAAUUCGUGAACUGCCCCGAUCCUGUACCGCAGAGCAGCCGUUGCCGCUGGAGCGAACUGGACCGUUCAUUAACGGGUUUGGUUUUGUUGCAGUGGUGGUUGGUCUGUAUGGUAUUUUCUUUUUUCUGACGCACAAACGUUGUUUCCUCCCGUUUGACCUUUGUUUGUUGACUCGAUGGCACGAGUGGUGUUUUUCCUGGUGAAAGGCGCCAUUGGUGUGGUCGAAAGACUAAUGAAUGAAAGCACAACUCUUAGCAACGGAUAUCUUGGUUCUCGCAUCGAUGAAGAACGCAGC